RNAcentral lists this small RNA (77 nucleotides) under Xanthomonas arboricola pv. guizotiae. RNAcentral describes it as "sX9 sRNA". It matches the Rfam family "Xanthomonas sRNA sX9". Lineage: Bacteria; Pseudomonadati; Pseudomonadota; Gammaproteobacteria; Lysobacterales; Lysobacteraceae. The record is from RNAcentral.
CUGUAUCGCUCGUACGCUCCGGCUGCGAGCGUGCCGUCCAUACCCACCUGGCGACCGCUCGCUACGUUUUGUCAGCC